This 433-nucleotide ribosomal RNA is filed under the name uncultured bacterium. RNAcentral describes it as "partial 16S ribosomal RNA". It matches the Rfam family "Bacterial small subunit ribosomal RNA", at positions 29 to 507 of the family's 1533-position model. The record is from RNAcentral.
AACGAACGCUGGCGGCAUGCCUAACACAUGCAAGUCGAACGAUGCCUUCGGGCCUAGUGGCGCACGGGUGCGUAACGCGUGGGAAUCUGCCUUUCGGUUCGGAAUAACUCAGGGAAACUUGAGCUAAUACCGGAUAACGUCGCAAGACCAAAGAUUUAUCACCGAAAGAUGAGCCCGCGUAGGAUUAGCUAGUUGGUGAGGUAAAGGCUCACCAAGGCGACGAUCCUUAGCUGGUCUGAGAGGAUGGUCAGCCACACUGGGACUGAGACACGGCCCAGACUCCUACGGGAGGCAGCAGUGGGGAAUAUUGGACAAUGGGCGAAAGCCUGAGCCAGCAAUGCCGCGUGAGUGAUGAAGGCCUUAGGGUUGUAAAGCUCUUUUACCCGGGAAGAUAAUGACGGUACCGGGAGAAUAAGCCCCGGCUAACUCCGUG